UCGAAAACUUGUGAUGGCAAACCACUGUCGCCUUCCUGUUGUCUUACAGAACGUCCCUCUGGCAUUUAUCGAAUACACCCCCUUUUUAAGAAACUCGAGUGCUGAGGUAGAACAGGUCCUCUCUGGGAGCAUCUACCUCAGACGAUGUCUUAACCUGACUUACUCUGCUACUGAUGACAAGUUUGAGGAAAUGUGUCUCCACUUCAUUGUCACAGGAUGUACUGAAGAAGAACAGAAUAAUGCAUAUAAAGCUACAUCGAACUUACAUUACUUGGCUCUUUUGGUUCCCAUCAUUGCAUGCAUUUUGGGGAUCGAGUGAAAAAUUGGGUGCCUCAGACGGAGGGUGUCAUGCCUUCCCACACGGAAAUAACCUAUAUAAACAUAUAUGUUUUAAUAUAGGUUUUGAUAUAGGUUUUCAAUAUAUGUGACAUAUAUAAAAUUGGCG
This is a long non-coding RNA of Paramormyrops kingsleyae, 445 nucleotides long. RefSeq lists it as uncharacterized. Lineage: Eukaryota; Metazoa; Chordata; Actinopteri; Osteoglossiformes; Mormyridae. The record is from RefSeq and is a predicted model, not a curated record.